RNAcentral lists this non-coding RNA (205 nucleotides) under Filamoeba nolandi. The record is from RNAcentral. Lineage: Eukaryota; Evosea; Variosea.
AAGCAGAAGGGAGCAAACCAACGAAAUCAAAAGCCAAAAAAGCGCAGUUGGCUUGAUAAUGUAUCUUGUGGUUCAAUUGUACAGUAUUUAUUAAUUAUCUACAUUGUCUUCAGGGAGAAGAGGAGGUCUGUUGGUUUGCAAUAUGGAUUCAAGAAUACCCAAAGAUUUAGCAGUUUCUCUUUGGAGUUCUUCCUUGUGAAUCAAA